CCUACGGGUGGCAGCAGUGAGGAAUAUUGGACAAUGGACGGAAGUCUGAACCAGCCACGCCGCGUGCAGGAAGACGGCUCUAUGAGUUGUAAACUGCUUUUGUACAAGGGAAAACUUGAAUACGUGUAUUCAGCUGAAAGUACUGUACGAAUAAGGAUCGGCUAACUCCGUGCCAGCAGCCGCGGUAAUACGGCGGAUGCAAGCGGUACCCGGAUUUAUUGGGUUUAAAGGGUGCGUUGGCGGUUUUAUAAGGUCGAGGUGAAAUGUCCGAGCUUAACCCCGGGACUGCCUCUGAGACUGUUGAUCUAGAGAGUAGGUGAGGUAGGCGGAAUGUAGGGUGUAGCGGUGAAAUGCUUAGAGAUCAUACAGAACACCGAUGGCGAAGGCAGCUUACCAAUCUUUAUCUGACGCUGAGGCACGAAAGCGUGGGGAGCAAACAGGAUUAGAUACCCCUGUAGUC
RNAcentral lists this ribosomal RNA (460 nucleotides) under uncultured bacterium. Its description in RNAcentral is "partial 16S ribosomal RNA". It matches the Rfam family "Bacterial small subunit ribosomal RNA", at positions 338 to 795 of the family's 1533-position model. The record is from RNAcentral.